GACGAACGCUGGCGGCGUGCCUAAUACAUGCAAGUAGAACGCUGAAGGAGGAGCUUGCUUCUCUGGAUGAGUUGCGAACGGGUGAGUAACGCGUAGGUAACCUGCCUGGUAGCGGGGGAUAACUAUUGGAAACGAUAGCUAAUACCGCAUAAUAGUAGAUGUUGCAUGACAUUUGCUUAAAAGGUGCAAUUGCAUCACUACCAGAUGGACCUGCGUUGUAUUAGCUAGUUGGUGGGGUAACGGCUCACCAAGGCGACGAUACAUAGCCGACCUGAGAGGGUGAUCGGCCACACUGGGACUGAGACACGGCCCAGACUCCUACGGGAGGCAGCAGUAGGGAAUCUUCGGCAAUGGACGGAAGUCUGACCGAGCAACGCCGCGUGAGUGAAGAAGGUUUUCGGAUCGUAAAGCUCUGUUGUAAGAGAAGAACGAGUGUGAGAGUGGAAAGUUCACACUGUGACGGUAUCUGAACAGAAAGGGACGGCUAACUACGUG
Molecule: ribosomal RNA, 495 nt
Filed under: uncultured bacterium
Lineage: Bacteria
Description: partial 16S ribosomal RNA
Rfam family: Bacterial small subunit ribosomal RNA
Source: RNAcentral